RNAcentral lists this non-coding RNA (52 nucleotides) under Tieghemostelium lacteum. Its description in RNAcentral is "Dictyostelium lacteum Class I RNA from Dictyostelium". It matches the Rfam family "Class I RNA from Dictyostelium". The record is from Rfam by way of RNAcentral. Lineage: Eukaryota; Evosea; Eumycetozoa; Dictyosteliales; Raperosteliaceae.
GAACUUCUUACAGCUAUUAAAAUCAUCAAUUCAUGAAAACCCUCGAGUUCUG